GAUGAACGCUGGCGGCGUGCCUAAUACAUGCAAGUCGAGCGAACAGACGAGGAGCUUGCUCCUCUGACGUUAGCGGCGGACGGGUGAGUAACACGUGGAUAACCUACCUAUAAGACUGGGAUAACUUCGGGAAACCGGAGCUAAUACCGGAUAAUAUAUUGAACCGCAUGGUUCAAUAGUUAAAGACGGUUUUGCUGUCACUUAUAGAUGGAUCCGCGCCGCAUUAGCUAGUUGGUAAGGUAACGGCUUACCAAGGCAACGAUGCGUAGCCGACCUGAGAGGGUGAUCGGCCACACUGGAACUGAGACACGGUCCAGACUCCUACGGGAGGCAGCAGUAGGGAAUCUUCCGCAAUGGGCGAGAGCCUGACGGAGCAACGCCGCGGGAGUGAUGAAGGUCUUCGGAUCGUAAAACUCUGUUAUUAGGGAAGAACAAAUGUGUAAGUAACUAUGCACGUCUUGACGGUACCUAAUCAGAAAGCCACGGCUAACUACGUG
Molecule: ribosomal RNA, 497 nt
Filed under: uncultured bacterium
Lineage: Bacteria
Description: partial 16S ribosomal RNA
Rfam family: Bacterial small subunit ribosomal RNA
Source: RNAcentral